GAUGAACGCUAGCUACAGGCUUAACACAUGCAAGUCGAGGGGAAACGACAUCGAAAGCUUGCUUUUGAUGGGCGUCGACCGGCGCACGGGUGAGUAAGGCGUAUCCAACCUGCCCAUCACUUGGGAAUAACCUUGCGAAAGUAAGACUAAUACCCAAUGACAUCCCACGAAGACAUCUGAAUGGGAUUAAAGAUUUAUCGGUGAUGGAUGGGGAUGCGUCUGAUUAGCUUGUUGGCGGGGUAACGGCCCACCAAGGCAACGAUCAGUAGGGGUUCUGAGAGGAAGGUCCCCCACAUUGGAACUGAGACACGGUCCAAACUCCUACGGGGGGCAGCAGUGAGGAAUAUUGGUCAAUGGGCGAGAGCCUGAACCAGCCAAGUAGCGUGCAGGAUGACGGCCCUAUGGGUUGUAAACUGCUUUUAUAAGGGAAUAAAGUGGGUCUCGUGAGACUUUUUGCAUGUACCUUAUGAAUAAGGACCGGCUAAUUCCGUG
This 492-nucleotide ribosomal RNA is filed under the name uncultured bacterium. RNAcentral describes it as "partial 16S ribosomal RNA". It matches the Rfam family "Bacterial small subunit ribosomal RNA", at positions 28 to 507 of the family's 1533-position model. The record is from RNAcentral.